UUCAACGGUCUUCUCGCGUUUACAGUUUCUCCCAAAACAUUCUCUCGUUCCUCUCUCUUCUCUGUUCUCUCGUUUCUUAGCUCUAUCCUCUCACGCAAUGAUCUCGAUUAGGAAUUCAUCGUCUUCUCCUUCAUUGCUAGUCUCAGUCCGGUGUUCAUCGCAGAAUUGGUAAGGAAUAGUUGGAUAAUCGUCCUUCAACGAUCUUUUGUUAGUAAAGAAGCUCUAAGAGAGUAAGAGUGCUGGUUUGAAUUUAAGGAGCAUGUUGCUUAAGAGUAUACCCUGUGGCGCUGAGUUGGUUCAUGUAUACCUACCAGAAGGAGAGCUCCUCAUUCUGACAAAGAUUGAACAUUCAUAAUGCAUGCCUAAUUAUAGGAUACCGAUAUAGAAUGUGACUAUACUUGAAUAACUUCAGAUUAUAAUGUUGAGAUUUGCUUUAACUUGAACUAAAAAGGCAUCGGCUAAAGAAGCCCUAUUAGCUAGGCUUGUCAAUCUAACACAUCAAGGACUUUCUUGCAAUUUGCAGUUUGUUCUAUGAUUUAUUAAUUCCUAGAAUUACAAGCAAUGUGUCUAUUUGUGUUAUAUGCUAUCUUUGGUGUUUAAAUGACAUGCUUCUUUGUGUGUUAGUAUAAUUAACAAUCUUGAGACAGAGAAAGGACCGGAAUUCAAUUAUGCAUUCUCAUUGGCCCCGAAGUACAAGAUGCUGAGUUGGUGCUCUUGCUCGCAUGCUCAGGACAGCCCCACUAGUACGCCAAGAUUCAAGCUGAUAUUCAUCACGCUUUCAAAGCAGCACCACCCACAUGAUGUUAAUUUUGGCACAGGUAUUGAAUUUUUUAUGGCACAGAGCGCAUCAGGUGCCCUCUAAGAGCAUCAGGUGCCCUCUAAGAGUUACAGGGAGAUGAAAGAACUACUACUCUGUAAGAGUGGAUAUCGGGUGAUUAACAAGGAAGACCUUUAAUCUUAGCCCUUGGAUAUCAAAGGGACAAAGUUAGCAUUUAAGAUUUGGGGAGGCCUAAUCAAUAUCUAUGUUGCACAUAGACGGAUACGGGUACUGGUGUGAAUUCGAGUACGGGGACAGAAAACAACAAGAUUUCGAAAUUUUAAGAAUGGGUACCGUACCCAUGCAGAAUACGUGUCGUAUCGAGUACGGGUACGAGUACGUGACCUAGAAGAAGUACCCAUGCUACAUAGAUCAAUAUCAUACACCAGCUCCAUAUGCACGCAUUUGUGCGAAAACAUGUAGAAAAUCAAAUCAAUUUAUCCCACUAAAUUAGGGACUUUAAUUUUUUUUUUCAAAAAUUUAGUUGAGAGGGAAGUAACUGAUGUGUUGUAAAUUUUCAUUGUGUUCUUGUGUUAUGCCUUUUUUUAUUGUUUUUACCUUUUUAAUUAAUUAGGCAGUUAUAUCUUUUUUUU
Long non-coding RNA from Beta vulgaris subsp. vulgaris (sugar beet), 1410 nucleotides. RefSeq lists it as uncharacterized. Lineage: Eukaryota; Viridiplantae; Streptophyta; Magnoliopsida; Caryophyllales; Amaranthaceae. The record is from RefSeq and is a predicted model, not a curated record. The transcript is spliced from 3 exons.